AAGAGGGGCGAAAACUCCCUUUUAUUGUUUACGCACCCUCGCAACCAAAAUUUAUAAGUUACGACAUGUCGCAACUAACAAUUUAGUAAAAAAAAAUUGUCGAUAUCUUAUAAGGUUAAUGAAAAAAGGUGAAAAAUAAGCCAAAAUCAAAAUUAAGAAUUUGACCUUGACCUUUGACCUUGACCUAAUUUUCAUUUUUUUGGACCAAGGAUCUUAAAUCAAAAGACCCUAGGUCUCUAUCACUUAUAGUUUACCAGUUAGAAAUGCAUAUCACUGAUAUCAUAUAUAAAAGGGGGAUAACUCUCAUAUGGAGUCUCCGGAUAGCUUCGGUUGAAAUGAAACAGAACAUCCUAAGGAUAUAACGAGCAAUUUGGAAAAAUAAAUUUGUCGGUUUCUUAUACGGUUGCGAAGUAGUAGUGGCCACAAGAAAAACAGUGUUUGGGGAGAUAACUCUUACAAGGUAAAGUUUUUGUUACGCGGUUGUCAGUUUCAGAAGCGUAUUAAACUGUUCGAUAUCAUAUACCAAAUAUCUAAGCGACAUCUUGUGAAACAAAAAAACAGCGAAGGAAAAAAAAGUUGGCGGAAGAAAAAAAAAAAAAAAAUAAUAAUAAUAAUAAUAAUAAUAAUAAUAAUCAGAACAAAUAUAGGUCUUUCAACUGAAAGGUUGAAAGACCUAAUUAAAAACCAAUUGUUCAGAGAACAAUUGUAGGUCUUUCCACUAGUAAAGAUCUAUUUUGAUAUUGAAAUAUUAAAAAUCAGUUUAAAAUGUUAGUUCCUAUGGCUUUAUGAUGUAUUUAUAUGAAUUUAAAGCAAAGGUCAAAAUCUAGAACGUCAUAUUAACCUAUGACCUUGACCUCAAUUUCAAGUUCACAAACCAAGGACCUUAAAUCAAAAGACCCAAGGUCUUUAAUAUGUUUGGUUUAUUAGUAAUAUCACUUUACGCGUAAUUCUAAAUGUAAGAUGGGCAAAAACUCCCAUUUAUUGUCUGCGCACCCUUUCAAUCAAAAUAUACAAGUAAGGACAUGUCGCAACUAACAAUUUAUGAAAAAAUUAUUUGUCGAUAUGUCAUAAGGUAUUUGAAAAUAAAUGAAAAUAAGCCAAAAUCAAAAUUUAGAAUAUGACCUUGACCUUUGACCUUGACCUCAUUUUUAUUAUUUUCGACCAAGGACCCCAAAUCUAAAGACCCUAUGUCUUUAUCACUUAUGGUUUACCAUUUAGAAAUGCAUAUCACUUAAUUAAAUGGAAAAGGGGGAAUAACUCUCAUAUGGAGUCUCCGUAAAGCUUCGGUCCAAAUGAAUAUCCUAAUCCUGAAGAUGUAACGAGCAAUUUGGUAAAAUAAAUUUGUCGUAAUCUUUAACGGUUGCGAAGGAGUAGUGGCCACAAGAAAAACAGUGUUUGGGGAGAUAACUCUUACAACGUAAAGUAUUUUGUUACGCAGUUGUAAAUUUUUAAAGCGUAUAAACUAUACGAUACCAUAUUCCAAAUAUCUAAGCGACAUCUUUUGAAACAUCAAAAAUACGCAAGAAAAAAAAUUAGGCGGAAGAAAAAAAAAAAAAAUAAUAAUAAUAAUAAUCAGAACAAAUUCAAUAGGUCUUUCCACGGAAAGGUGGAAAGACC
RNAcentral lists this long non-coding RNA (1617 nucleotides) under Mytilus galloprovincialis (Mediterranean mussel). The record is from RNAcentral. Lineage: Eukaryota; Metazoa; Mollusca; Bivalvia; Mytilida; Mytilidae.